GCAACUUUGGCCGAGUGGUUAAGGCGUGUGGCUCAAGAGAUCUUCUCUUGCCUUCAAUUGAAGGUUUAGCUUUCUCAUAGACUUUGUCUGCGGGAGUUCGAAUCUCCCAGGUUGCA
Molecule: non-coding RNA, 116 nt
Organism: Didymella exigua CBS 183.55
Lineage: Eukaryota; Fungi; Ascomycota; Dothideomycetes; Pleosporales; Didymellaceae
Source: the annotation of a RefSeq genome assembly